AAUCCUCAAAACCCAUUCUUCGAUCGGGGAAAGGGUUUUGGACUUGGAGGAUCAAUGCUUGCCCUCACUUUGAAGGCAAGCUCCUCUCAAAUAAAUUAGUGGGGUUUGCUUUGCUGAUCCUCGACGGUGAUAAGACAUCUCUACGUUUUGGAUUUGGCGACUGUCCCUUGCUUCUAACCGUCCUAUGGACAAUGAUGGGUGCACCGGUCCACCGCCUUACAUUGGAGGGGGGCUGGACCCACAAAAAAGGA
This 251-nucleotide unclassified non-coding RNA is filed under the name uncultured Russula. Its description in RNAcentral is "sequence contains ITS2". The record is from RNAcentral. Lineage: Eukaryota; Fungi; Basidiomycota; Agaricomycetes; Russulales; Russulaceae.